UCUUCUAGCCAUGUUUCAUUUAGAAACAAAAUCCAGGUUGUCCAACCCAUUCUCACUCCCGAGGCGUCAAAAACUGCAGAACGGUCAAGUGUCUCUAGCGUCACUAUGAAGAUGUCAACAGCGCCCCUCGGCGUCACUAUAUCGACGAACUGGGACCUACAUUGAUUUCAAUGGGAAACUUUUGGCGUCAGAACACAGACUCGAAGGACAUGAGAUGAUCGCUAUGAAAUCACGUUCAGGAAGUCUCAUUCAGCACACAUGGCGAUAUUUGCCAUUAGUUUACGUGUGCGGCAGGUUGGGUGAGUAGUCGUAAAUACGCUGUCUUAAUGUUUGUUUUAAACUGUAUCCUGUCUUUUUUAUUAGUCAGAUUAGCGCCGUAUGUUUAUUCGCUUAAUUAUAUCCGUCUUUGCGUUUCAUUGCGUUUAACUAAUCGAACACACCUGCUAACUGGAGCGAUUAAACUCUGUCACGUGACGUCAUAGACCUUCGAUCAGAUUUAUAUCAUGUUCAAAGAUGGAAGUUGUAUUUGUAGUAAAAUCAUAGUAACCACAACACUAACAACAGUUGUUGCAAGUUAUACUGUGAUAUUUUAAGUUAAAACACCGUAAACAUGACACUUACCAUGUUUUUACCACAGUACCUGUAGUUGUACUGUGAUAUUUGAAGUUAAAACAUAGUAAACAUGACACUUA
Long non-coding RNA from Labeo rohita (rohu), 692 nucleotides. RefSeq lists it as uncharacterized. The record is from RefSeq and is a predicted model, not a curated record. Lineage: Eukaryota; Metazoa; Chordata; Actinopteri; Cypriniformes; Cyprinidae. The transcript has 2 exons.